Molecule: ribosomal RNA, 1228 nt
Filed under: metagenome
Description: bacterial LSU rRNA
Rfam family: Bacterial large subunit ribosomal RNA
Source: RNAcentral
UGUAGUCAAGGAGAGAAUCCUGAGGUGCUCGAGUGAGUCAUGGCUAAGGAACUAGGCAAAUUAAACCUGUAACUUCGGGAAAAGGGUUGCCUCACUUUAGCAAUAAAGAAGGUCGCAGAGAAAUGGCCCAGGCGACUGUUUAACAAAAACACAUGGCUAUGCGAAAUCGUAAGAUGAAGUAUAUGGCCUGACACCUGCCCGGUGCUGGAAGGUUAAGGGGGGAAGUUAGUCGCAAGGCGAAGCUUUGAACUGAAGCCCCAGUAAACGGCGGCCGUACUAUAACGGUCCUAAGGUAGCGAAAUUCCUUGUCGGGUAAGUUCCGACCUGCACGAAUGGUGUAACGAUCUGGGCACUGUCUCAGCCAUGAGCUCGGUGAAAUUGUAGUCACGGUGAAGAUGCCGUGUACCCGUCACGGGACGGAAAGACCCCAUGCACCUUUACUAUAGCUUCGCAUUGACAUUGGGUAGAUGAUGUGUAGGAUAGGUGGGAGGCGUUGAUCCUGUGCCGCUAGGUAUAGGGGAGCCAACGGUGAAAUACCACCCUUUAUUUAUCUGAUGUCUAAUCCGCAAGACCUGCGGAGACAGUGCGUGGUGGGUAGUUUGACUGGGGUGGUCGCCUCCGAAAGUGUAUCGGAGGCUUUCAAAGGUAUGCUCAAUACGCUUGGCAACCGUAUGUGGAGUGCAAUAGCAUAAGCAUGCUUGACUGUGAGACUGACAAGUCGAGCAGGGUCGAAAGACUGAUAUAGUGAUCCGGUGGUUCUGUAUGGAAGGGCCAUCGCUCAAAGGAUAAAAGGUACGCUGGGAUAACAGGCUGAUCUCCCCCAAGAGCUCACAUCGACGGGGAGGUUUGGCACCUCGAUGUCGGCUCGUCACAUCCUGGGGCUGGAGAAGGUCCCAAGGGUUAGGCUGUUCGCCUAUUAAAGUGGCACGCGAGCUGGGUUCAGAACGUCGUGAGACAGUUCGGUCCCUAUCUGUGAUGGGCGUAGGAAGUUUGAGAGGAUCUGACCUUAGUACGAGAGGACCGGGUUGGACCAACCGCUGGUGUACCGGUUGUGGCGUCAGCUGCAUCGCCGGGUAGCUACGUUGGGACGAGAUAAGCGCUGAAAGCAUCUAAGCGCGAAACUCACCUCAAGAUGAGACUUCCAUUAAGGGACGUCAGAGACUAUGACGUUGAUAGGCUGCAGGUGUAAAGGCAGAAAUGUCAAAGCUGAGCAGUACUAAUUACCCGG